Molecule: unclassified non-coding RNA, 963 nt
Filed under: Hevea brasiliensis (rubber tree)
Lineage: Eukaryota; Viridiplantae; Streptophyta; Magnoliopsida; Malpighiales; Euphorbiaceae
Source: RNAcentral
AGAAAAAAAAAAGGGAUAACCAUAAUGACCAAGAUACAUUAAUGAAAGAUCACAAUCUAAUUUAUAACUCUUGUGUGCUAAAAGAAAUCACAGCUGUCUGGCUGAGACAAUCAACUACUCCUGUGUAACCUUGUCUUUUGCAUUAUCAUGACUAAAAGGUCGUCGCCAGAAAAGCCUCACCAAUUUCCUCUAUAUUCCCAUCGAGACAAUAGUCAAAAAUGAAAAAAUGUACAUAUUCCCAGGCUGCCCACUACGUAAUCAGAAUAGCCAAAUAGUUUCAACAUGUUGGUAAAGGCAUUGGCCAUCAAUUAUUUAUUUGUUGUUCCACUAUUUUAAUCUCAACCAUCACCCCCAAAAAAAAAACCCAAGGUGCACAUGAGUAUCAAUCCAUAUUCUAGAACAAAGAACUUACAAAAGAAAAUUUUGUAUUUCACUACAUAAUCAAUCUUCACGUUUUAGCAAGCUGCAAUUUCUUCAAAAUCGCAUCAUCACUAUCCCACCUCCAUAUUUUAUUAUAAAACCCUAAUGGCCCUAAUGGAUACAAAUCCUACCUCCAAAAGCUACGCAGAACAAAUGAUUUGAUAGGUAAUACUAAAGGACAAUAAAUUUUACGAACUUCUUAAACCGAUACCAAAUGAAAAUGCAGGAAAUUAAAACACAAUGGAAUUUAGAAUCUCGACUUUUUCAAUAGUAUAAAUCCCAAUAUCAAACCCCAUGCCAAUUGCACCAAAUCCAAAAAAUAUGAUAGUUAAAUCAUUCAAUUACUAAACAAAGACACAACAGAGCUCAUAAAAAUGGAGAAAUUUUCCUUCCUUCAGUUUUCCCCUAAAUUUCAAGCAGCCAGAUAAUAACUAGGGUUUUGGACUAGAAUUGAUCAAUUUUGACUUUAAAAAUCACGAUCAAGGAAAUGAAGCAGAGAAAUUAAAGUGAAUUUGAUAUACCUGAGAAAGCGAGAAAAGAGAA